CAAGAUGGGAGGCUAGGGUGGAGUCCGUGAAAGCCGUCCGAUACCAGUUGCCUGAAAUUUUGGAUGCCCUGACCGCUCUGAGGGAGUAUGCUGAGGAGAAGCAAGACUCUGAAUGCGCCUCCAAUGCCAACGGCAUUCACAAAGAGAUGAAGAAAUGGCCUUUUCUGUGAGAAAACAACAGGGGAAAAGACAGAUGAACAACAUCACCUUCUAUCAGUGAGCCCUGGCUGAACAAGGUUGGGUUCUAUACUGCUGCUCACCACUUUUCUCUGAUAUGAAGACUUUUGAGAAGACGACAACAGUAGGACUUUGUGUUUACAAAUGCUUUCUGUCUCACACACACACACACACACACACACACACACACACACA
Long non-coding RNA from Gadus morhua (Atlantic cod), 372 nucleotides. RefSeq lists it as uncharacterized. NCBI's taxonomy places the organism in Eukaryota, Metazoa, Chordata, Actinopteri, Gadiformes, Gadidae. The record is from RefSeq and is a predicted model, not a curated record. The transcript has 3 exons.